This is a non-coding RNA of Pelobates cultripes (western spadefoot toad), 222 nucleotides long. The record is from the annotation of a GenBank genome assembly. NCBI's taxonomy places the organism in Eukaryota, Metazoa, Chordata, Amphibia, Anura, Pelobatidae.
AGAUCUUGUUUUUUUGGUUAGCUGCUAAUCUCGCCGAGCAUUCAGAGAGUUUGUUUAACUAGGUGUAUGCAGUCUUUUAGAGUGGGGGCUACACUAUUCUUCCAGUUUCUGCUAAAAAUUGUAAGUGCAGCUAUAUUGAUCUGGUAGAGGAGAUAAAUCAUAUCUUUAAUUAACUGUGGAGAGUAGUUUUGUAACAGGAAGCAUUCCGGGGUAUGCGGGAUG